This 497-nucleotide ribosomal RNA is filed under the name uncultured bacterium. RNAcentral describes it as "partial 16S ribosomal RNA". It matches the Rfam family "Bacterial small subunit ribosomal RNA", at positions 28 to 507 of the family's 1533-position model. The record is from RNAcentral.
GAUGAACGCUGGCGGCGUGCCUAAUACAUGCAAGUCGAGCGAACAGACGAGGAGCUUGCUCCUCUGACGUUAGCGGCGGACGGGUGAGUAACACGUGGAUAACCUACCUAUAAGACUGGGAUAAAUUCGGGAAACCGGAGCUAAUACCGGAUAAUAUAUUGAACCGCAUGGUUCAAUAGUGAAAGACGGUUUUGCUGUCACUUAUAGAUGGAUCCGCGCCGCAUUAGCUAGUUGGUAAGGUAACGGCUUACCAAGGCAACGAUGCGUAGCCGACCUGAGAGCGUGAUCGGCCACACUGGAACUGAGACACGGUCCAGACUCCUACGGGAGGCAGCAGUAGGGAAUCUUCCGCAAUGGGCGAAAGCCUGACGGAGCAACGCCGCGUGAGUGAUGAAGGUCUUCGGAUCGUAAAACUCUGUUAUUAGGGAAGAACAAAUGUGUAAGUAACUAUGCACAUCUUGACGGUACCUAAUCAGAAAGCCACGGCUAACUACGUG